GAUGAACGCUGGCGGCGUGCCUAAUACAUGCAAGUCGAGCGAACAGACGAGGAGCUUGCCCCUCUGCAGUUAGCGGCGGACGGGUGAGUAACACGUGGAUAACCUACCUAUAAGGCUGGGAUAACUUCGGGGACCCGGAGCUAAUACCGGAUAAUAUAUUGAACCGGAUGGUUCAAUAGUGAACGACGGUUUUGCUGUCACUAAUAGAUGGAUCCGCGCCGCAUUAGCUAGUUGGUAAGGUAACGGCUUACCAAGGCAACGAUGCGUAGCCGACCUGAGAGGGUGAUCGGCCACACUGGAACUGAGACACGGUCCAGACUCCUACGGGAGGCAGCAGUAGGGAAUCUUCCGCAAUGGGCGAAAGCCUGACGGAGCAACGCCGCGUGAGUGAUGAAGGUCUUCGGAUCGUAAAACUCUGUUAUUAGGGAAGAACAAAUGUGUAAGUAACUAUGCACGUCUUGACGGUACCUAAUCAGAAAGCCACGGCUAACUACGUG
RNAcentral lists this ribosomal RNA (497 nucleotides) under uncultured bacterium. RNAcentral describes it as "partial 16S ribosomal RNA". It matches the Rfam family "Bacterial small subunit ribosomal RNA", at positions 28 to 507 of the family's 1533-position model. The record is from RNAcentral.